CCGUGCGAAGGUAGCGCAAUCACUUGUCUCUUAAAUGGAGACCUGUAUGAAUGGCAUAACGAGGGCUUGACUGUCUCCUCUUUCAAGUCAAUGAAAUUGAUCUCCCCGUGCAGAAGCGGGGAUGUAACCAUUAAAGACGAGAAGACCCUAUGGAGCUUUAGACACUAUAGCAGAUCAUAUUUUACCACCUACCCAAAAGGAAAAAAAUUAGAUGAAUCCUGCCCUAAUGUCUUUGGUUGGGGCGACCGCGGAGAAACAAAAAACCCCCGCAUGGACCAAAUGUUCAACAUUUACAACCGAGAGCUACAGCUCUUACUAACAGAACUUCUGACCACUAGAUCCGGCAAUGCCGAUCAAUGCACCGAGUUACCCUUGGGAUUACAGCGCAAUCUCCUCUUAGAGUCCAUAUCGACGAGGGGUUUACGAACUCGAUGUUGGAUCAGGACAUCCUUAUGGUGCACG
Molecule: ribosomal RNA, 462 nt
Filed under: Cephalopholis boenak (chocolate hind)
Lineage: Eukaryota; Metazoa; Chordata; Actinopteri; Perciformes; Serranidae
Description: partial 16S ribosomal RNA
Rfam family: Bacterial large subunit ribosomal RNA
Source: RNAcentral